GCGCUGUGCGGUGUGCAUAGAGCGAACUAUUCUUUCGCUUUUUACUAAAGAAUACCGUGUGCGUGCACAUUUAGUGGCAUACACCAAUUUGGUGAAGGGAUUUCUCUCACAAGAGAACC
This is a small nuclear RNA of Pyrus x bretschneideri (Chinese white pear), 119 nucleotides long. RefSeq annotates it as U5 spliceosomal RNA. Lineage: Eukaryota; Viridiplantae; Streptophyta; Magnoliopsida; Rosales; Rosaceae. The transcript has a single exon. The record is from RefSeq and is a predicted model, not a curated record.